UCCAUGGUGGCUCAGAUGGUAAAGAAUCUGCCUGUAAUGCAGAAGACCCAGGUUCAAUCCCUGGGUCAGGAA
Molecule: transfer RNA, 72 nt
Filed under: Ovis aries (sheep)
Lineage: Eukaryota; Metazoa; Chordata; Mammalia; Artiodactyla; Bovidae
Rfam family: tRNA
About the family: Transfer RNA (tRNA) molecules are approximately 80 nucleotides in length. Their secondary structure includes four short double-helical elements and three loops (D, anti-codon, and T loops).
Source: Rfam by way of RNAcentral